AAAAUAAUAACAAAAUAUAUUAACCCUAAUUCUCUAUCCUUGUUUGGCGGCAGCCCUCUAUAUCGAGACCCCCACCCUCCUCGACUCUUGUGACCUUGAAACUCCCAAUCAGGUCGUUAGGUACUUGGGAACAGGAACUUGCUGGCUGGAGUGCGUGAGUGGUCAUGGUCGUUAGGUACUUGGGAACAGGAACUUGCUGGCUGGAGUGCGUGAGUGGUCAUGGUUGCAUUGAUGAGUUAUUUAUCAAACAUUUAUUUACUAUGGUUGUUUGAAAAGUAUUUACAUUAUAUUACAUUAACGCUUCCGCUGAACUUGAUGGUCUUGAAUCACUUAUGUUUGGAUUUUAUUACUAUUAAAUGAUGAAACUUUAUUUAGAACUUGUGAUUCAAUGUAAUUGAUGGCUCAUUACUAG
Molecule: long non-coding RNA, 412 nt
Filed under: Helianthus annuus (common sunflower)
Lineage: Eukaryota; Viridiplantae; Streptophyta; Magnoliopsida; Asterales; Asteraceae
Source: RNAcentral